GGCCAAGGUGGAGGAGAGCGAGGGGACCCUGCGGAGCAAGGUGCAGAGCCUGACAGAUGCCCUGGCCCAGAGCAGUGCCAGUCUCACCAGCAGUCAGGACAAGAAUCUGUACCUACAGAAGGCCUUGAGUACCUGCGAACAUGACCGCCAAGUGCUGCAGGAACGGCUGGACGCUGCCAGACAGGCACUGUCUGAAGCUCGAAGGCAAAGCAGCUCCCUGGGUGAGCAGGUGCAGACUCUGCGGGGUGAGCUGGCCAACCUGGAGCUGCAGCGGGGCGAUGCUGAAGGCCAGCUGCAGCAGCUGCAGCAGGUGCUGCGGCAGCGGCAGGAAGGGGAGGCCGUGGCUUUGCGCUCCGUCCAGAAGCUACAGGAGGAGCGGCGCCUGUUGCAGGAGCGCCUGGGCAGUCUGCAGCGAGCCCUGGCCCAGCUGGAAGCUGAGAAACGUGAGCUGGAGCGGUCGGCACUGCAGCUGGACAAGGACCGUGUGGCACUCAGGAAGACACUGGACAAGGUGGAGCGGGAGAAGCUUCGAAGCCACGAGGACACACUGCGCUUGAAUGCAGAGAGGGGCCGCCUGGACCGCACACUCACAGGAGCUGAGCUGGACCUGGCUGAAGCCCAACAGCAGAUCCAACAUUUAGAGGUGGUGGAAGUCCUGGAGCGGAACCACAGUCCUGUCCAGGUGGAGGCAGAUGAGCAGCACCUGGAGCUGCAACAGGAGGUUGAGCGCCUGCGCAGUGCCCAGGUAUCCACACUGAAGGCACAGCUGCAUCAGGAGCGUCACCGGAGCUCAGCAUCCAUGUCCCCACCCUCUGGCACCCCAGAGAAAUGAGUCCCUUCCAGCCCAUAUCCUGAGCAGUCCCUGGGCAGGAGAGAGGCCCUCUGUAGCAUAGUCUGCCCAGGGCCUGGUCAUCAGAGUGCUGGGUGAGGGAGCUGGGGUGGCAGAGAUGAUGGCUGUGGUGACACCCACAGUGGCUU
This 978-nucleotide long non-coding RNA is filed under the name Rattus norvegicus (Norway rat). RNAcentral describes it as "long non-coding RNA NONRATT023778". The record is from RNAcentral. Lineage: Eukaryota; Metazoa; Chordata; Mammalia; Rodentia; Muridae.